RNAcentral lists this transfer RNA (70 nucleotides) under Marmota monax (woodchuck). RNAcentral's name for it is "tRNA.Ala". The record is from RNAcentral. Lineage: Eukaryota; Metazoa; Chordata; Mammalia; Rodentia; Sciuridae.
GAUUGUGGCUCAGUGGUAAAAGCGCUUGCCUGGCAUGUGUGGGGCACUGGGUUCAAUUCUCAGCACUGCA